UCUGGUAAUGAUGGCAGAGAGGUCACACCCGUUCCCAUACCGAACACGGAAGUUAAGCUCUCUAGCGCCGAUGGUAGUUGGGACCUUGUCCCUGUGAGAGUANAAAAGUUAAAUGAGUUACAAUGA
This 126-nucleotide ribosomal RNA is filed under the name Bacillus thuringiensis. The record is from RNAcentral. Lineage: Bacteria; Bacillati; Bacillota; Bacilli; Caryophanales; Bacillaceae.